GAUGAAGAACGCAGCGAAAUGCGAUACGUAAUGUGAAUUGCAGAAUUCAGUGAAUCAUCGAAUCUUUGAACGCACAUUGCGCCCCUUGGUAUUCCGAGGGGUAUGCCUGUUCGAGCGUCAUUAUCACCCCUCAAGCCCUGGCUUGGAGUUGGACUUUUUCGGUUUGGCGACGACAGACCGGUCUCAAAGAUAGUGACGGCGUCCCAGAAGGAGCCCGUACGAGGAGCUUUUAGUUAAGCAUGUAUGCGGUGUGACUCUGUGGGCGGCGGUCUUUACUUAAUAAUUUAUACCAGUGUUGACCUCGGAUCAGGUAGGAAUACCCGCUGAACUUAAGCAUAUCAAUAAGCGGAGGA
This 353-nucleotide unclassified non-coding RNA is filed under the name soil metagenome. RNAcentral describes it as "partial contains 5.8S ribosomal RNA, internal transcribed spacer 2, and large subunit ribosomal RNA". The stretch from base 1 to 120 matches the Rfam family "5.8S ribosomal RNA", at positions 35 to 154 of the family's 154-position model. The record is from RNAcentral.